Molecule: long non-coding RNA, 5848 nt
Organism: Myotis daubentonii (Daubenton's bat)
Lineage: Eukaryota; Metazoa; Chordata; Mammalia; Chiroptera; Vespertilionidae
Exons: 2
Source: RefSeq, a predicted model, not a curated record
GGGAGAGAGGGAGGGGUAUAGGAACCACUGAUAGGAUUCAAAUGUUAAUAAUGGAUGUGUUUUGAGAAGUGAAUGUACCUCUUCUGAUGCCAUUGCUGGUAUUCAGUAAUUUUCCACUCUUCCUUCACACUAGUCCCUUAGGUUUAUAUGUGGGGACCCCCUUUUCCCCACUCCUACUUAGGAAUCCUUUGUGGCAUCAAUCAGAAAUCUGUGGUCAUCGUACGAUGACAUUGACACCUUUUCCCACUACUUUCCUCCCAGUGACUGCUAUCCGGUAAACAAUAGCAUUUAAAGAAUAAGUCUGCCAGUUGGUGGGAAGUCCCAUUAUUUGAUGAAGAAUAACUUUCUUUCUUCAAAUGAAUAGGUCUCUAUAGAUUGUGAAAUUAGGUUUGCGACCACCUUACUAGGCCAGCAUAUUGUGUGUGUGUGUGUGUGUGUGUGUGUGUGUUUCUUUGUUGUCAACGUGCCUAUUGUCGGCGAUUGUGCAAGUGGCCGAAACCUCGCUCAGGCCCAUUCUGACUCAGCGGGGUGUGGUAUGGUCUUCCCCAGACAAAGCCUUUCUUAUGGGGAAAUUCCCUUAGUAUUGUUACUUGAUCACUCACAGGUAUGCUUUUUAAAACUCAGAUUGGCUUCUUUUUUUUUAUUCCUCACCCGAGGAUAUUUUUCCAUUGAUUUUUAGAGAGAGUGGAAGAGAGAGGGAAAGACAGAGAGAAAUAUCGAUGUGAGAGAAACACAUCGAUUGGUUGCCUCCUGCGUGUGCCCGGACCAGGACCCGGGCUGGGGAGGAGCCUGCAACCGGAGUACAAGCCCUUGACUGGAAUCAAACCCAGGACCCUUUGGUCUGCAGACCAACACUCUAUCCACUGAGCAAAACCGGCUAGGGCCAGGUUGGCUUCUUUAUUGAAAUGCAGGGACUGGGCAUUAGAAUAACCCCCAUUUCCCCUUUUCAGUGAUCUCCGAAGACGGUGGGCUGGGGGAAAAGGUUGCGUGACCUUAGGCAUGUCACCUCUCCCCACCCCCAUCUUUGUUCCCUCAUCUGUAAAAGUCAGACUGUGGCCUCCUUCCACGUCCCCUCCAGGCACUCACAUGGCGGGGAUGUGUAUUGUCUUGGCUGAUGGGGUGGGGAGGGUGGGAAGCAAAGUGAAUAAGGAAAAUACCAUCUCAUGCCAGCGGGCUGGGCGACCUGAUAUUGGCGAAACUGAAUUUCUCCGAGUCUGAGCCCAUCUUCCCUGGGAUCCCUUUCAGACAUAACGACCUAGUCAAAGUAGUAGGUGCUCAUUAGCCCCAGUGCUGACAUCGCUGAAUUCUUUCUCCUGACCUCCUACAUUUCCCUUCUCUUUGUGAUCAAUAAUCCUAUAUAAUAAAAGCCUAAUAUGCUAAGUGUCCGGUUGUUCAUACAACCAAUCAAAGAGUAAUAUGCUAAUGAUAUGCUAAGGUCGCUCAACUGCUCUCUAUGACAUGUACUGACCACCAGGGGGAAGACUCUCUGGUAGGUUAGCUUGCAGCUGGGGUCCGGCUGAUCAGGACUGAACAAGACAGGCUGGAUGUGACCUCAAGCCCUCCCGCCGUCCCUCCCUGGCUGGCCUACGUCCCGCAUCGCUCCCCAGCUCCAAUUGCGCACCAAUGGGGUCCCUCGGCCUGGCCUGUGCCCUUUCGCAAUCUGGGCUGAGGGACCCUCCCCCCCCAGUGCAUGAAUUUUGUGCACUAGGCCUCUAGUGUGGAAUAAAAAGCUAUGACCAAAAUGGAAGAGUUGGGGCAUUUUGUUUAGGGAUACAAUGAACAGUCACGUUGCCUUUAGGAAUGAGUCUCGUUUCCAGAAUAAAGUCAGGCCGGGUGGGACACUGCAUUGUCCCCAGAGUUUGGUGUGGACAUGAAUGGGUUCAAGUGAAGCAGAGUAAGCCAAACAAAGCCCACUACCCAGAGUGUGGAGCAGCCCCUGCAGAACUAGGGGCGCCAUCAUCCCUCUCUCUCUUGGGCAGGCUUGGCCGCCUGGCACCUGGGAAACUCGAGAAGUUCACCCCAAAAUAGCUGGCACUAUAACCUCAACCCUCAGUCCCAUGGCAGGCAAACAGCUGUGAAACACUGGACCUCUGGCCCUCCGUUUUUCCUUCUCGGAGCAGAAAACAAUGCCAUUUCUAAAAAUCGGAGCAGGCUGUAAUUAGGCCGCCAACAAACAGGGCAGGCAUUUCCUAUCAGGUACAUGUAAAGAAGAGAGGUGGUUAUUCCUAUUUUCUAGGAAAAUCCGCCCGUAGCCCGGCCUUGGAAACCCAUCAGAGAAUGCAGUGGGUCCUUCGGGAUGUGUUUUAAUUGGGAGCCUCUAGGGGUCAGCACCGCGUCAAGGAAGGGCACUCUGGUCCUGGAUAGUCUGGCCUGUUUCCCUGAGUGCGGGAGCGGGCUGACCUCAAAGGGCAGGAGAGGAGAGAGUGGCCCAGGUAAACACAGCAGAAGGCGCAGAGCCCUUUUCCUGGACAUAAACCCUAACUUUUGGCUCAGGUUGUUUUUCUCUCCCCUGCUUUCUUCCUUUGCAUCUUCCUCCACAGCUCCCGCACCCCCUGUGCACACUGUCAGCUCCAUAAACGCAUCCUAUUGACCGAUCAGUGGCGCGUGGCACUUAGCUCCCUCUGGAAGGCUGGGGAGACGCGGAGGGGAUGGACAGAGCAGUUCCUCACUCUGAGUGCGGAGGCAGCCUGGGCCUGCUGCUCAUUAGCCACAGGCUCUGCCAAACCUGCAACUCCCACCCCAGCUGCAGGGCCCCGGGGGCAGCGCCGGACCACAGGCUUCCACUUGGAACCGCACCCGGCUCCCGGGGGCGGCACGGGUCAGGCGUGGUGGGGGAGGGUUUGAGCAUCUACAGGAGACCUGGGCAUAAUCGAAGUCGGGAGCCCCCCAAAACUGGUGGGCACUCCUGGGGGCUCCAGGGCAUAAGACCAGAGGACACCAAGUCCAAACCCAGAGGCAGCCUGGGGAGCUCCCAGAGUUUCCCCGGGGUUGCCUUUUAGUCCAACAAGGAACGAAAGAUUGGGGCCAGCAGAUUCGUUGAAAUUACUAGUGACUCUAAAAUGGAACCCGAGGGCCGGGCAGGGCUACAGAAACCAGCCUGCCCUCCUCGCUACCUGCCGUCCUCGGUCCUGCCCCCUGGCAGAGCCCUCCUCAAGGCCAUGCAGACUCUUCUAAUAACAGAAGGGGCUGCUCCAGGCUCUUCGUAAUGAAGAGGCUUUGAGCUCCCCCUGGAAUAAAUAGCAGCAAAAUCCACUUUGUGGUCAGGCCAGGGCUGAGCAAGAAGAUAGUGCUUCCUCGUCUGCUCACACCUGGGAGCCGGCAGUAGCCUCACCAUCAUGCGCCCACAGCUUCCAGCUCCAGCCUGCCUUCUAGAACUUUCCUUCCCCACCUCUGUGCAGAGGCAGCGUGCACACUCUCAGAACCCUGCCGCGGCUGGGUAAUUCUGCGUGUCUUAGAUCAAUGCGUGGAGAUUGGAGAGCACUUUUCAAAGGCAAACUUCAUUCAUGCUGAAGCUCAUUUGUUUGUCUGAAUGAUCUACCGCCAUCACCGCCACAACGUUCCUGUAGGGAACAUUGGUGCCCACACCUGCUUUCCUCAAUUCUGAGGGCCUAGUGUCGUCACCAGCUCCCCGUGAUCGUGAUCAGGACCCCCUGGUCCUGGCAGGUGGGCAUGGGCUCACUGGUGAGCGGCUGCAGAGGCUGUAGAGGCUGCAGGGAGCAGGACGUGCCAGACCCAGAAGGGGUGCUUUUCUGUCCUCUGAUGCUGCAAGGAGAAAGGGAGGGGAGCAGAAACGGUGAGUCGGAGACAACCUUUGAACUUGUAAUCCUGCAGGGAACACGAAGCUGUGCGGGUUCGGGAAGGGGAGGGGACCGUGUCUCCUAGGGACGCGGAAAAGCUGGUUUUCCAGAUCGGACUCUUGCUCCCAGAUGGCCUUCGUCUUUAAACCGUUCGUUUCCCGUGCUCAGAAGUGUGAAGGGCCACUCGGAGCCUCGGCUACAAGGGGCUAUAAAAAUACAAACCGUUGUGAAGAAUGGACUUUACAUUGGGGUCUGGAGUGUGUCCGUUUCACAGCUCCUGACUGCAGUACUCCCCGGAAUAUGAAUCUAAUUAACCGAAAAGGACGGGGGCCACGUCUCCCGCCAGGUCUCACUGCUGCAAGACUUCAAGUUGAAGGCACCCUAAUGAGGGCUGUCCAGCCGCCUUUUCCCCCUCAUCACCUCCCCCUCCCACCUUGCCGGACACUGAGCACUUUAUAAUUCAAAGCUCAUCUAAAUUUCACAGGGUGGUGUAAUUCAGACCUUUACUAGGCACACCACUACCUCAGAAGCAUGGCCUUCACAUCUGCAGGUGGCCUUAGCUUUCAUACUGUGUGAAAAAUAACUAUGACCUAACCCGUGCCUUUUACCAGCGGCCUUGUACAGUGUAGCUAAAAGCAGUGAUUCCAGCCAGGAGAGGGCGGUACUUGGGGACAGAGCUAAGCAAUCCUGGUGUCUUUUGACGUCUUCUUCCUUCCAAGACUAUUUCUGACCCUGGCCAGCUCCCAGGUGACUCCCGGAACUGGUUACCAAAAGGGCUAAGUGAGAUCACGGUAGCGAUUGGGUGUAGAAGUCUAGCCCACAGGGAACAAACCAGUGCCCUUCUCAUGGUGGACGAAGGCGUCUCGUCCGUGCAUGCCUUGCAAGCUUUUGAAAAAGAUCUGUUAGCCAGACUCACGCCGGACGUGUCAUCUCAUUCGAUGCUAAUGAACUCAUCCAACCCGUCCACAUAGUCUGGUCUCGGGACUCUGGCCAACCCUUUGCCUAAGCCAUGAACGCACAUCCCCUUGCUCUGAGCCCCACUCUCUUCAGCUCCAGAAGCACACAAACGAAAGUUGCCACGUGCGCUUGAAAAUUCCAUUUGGAAGCUCGUGUUGGUGACUCUGGAUAGGAUCUGAGAAAAGGAAACAGACUCUGCGUCGGGUGUGCUGCCAGCUGCAUAGAGUUCAUCUCGCCGGGGACAGUUCUGCCCGCUGCGGAGGACAAUGUUGCAGAUGUGGAGAUGUGAGACAGGCGGGGAGGUGUGAAACAGGCGGGGAGAUGUGAGACAGAUGUGGAGUUUGGAGGACCUAUGAGGAGUUCAGAGUUGGACAGGUUAAAUUUCAGAUGCCCAGUAGAGGGCCAAGUGGAGAUGCCGAGCAGGCGGAUGGGUGGAGGAGUCUGACAGAGGUUUGGGCAUCACGUUUGAAGAGGAGUCUCCUAGGAUUUAUGGGCUGUGUGAAGAGGAGUUCCGUUAAUAGCAUAUGGUUGGGGCUCAGAGCCAAGUGUGGUGGGCAGCAAAGCCCUGGAUUCCUGUGCCCUUGACGUGGCUCGUCUAUGUAUCUAACCCAGUGCAGCAUCUUAAUCAACUCUUCCCACCACUGGCUUCACUGGCACCUUAUCAAAGGCUCCCCCGUCUCACUCUUAGCACCGCUCCCUGCUUGUCCUCUGAAUGGACAGCGCUGCCUGGCUGAACUCUUCCGUGGUCUCUGAGGUUCUCAACUUGCCCGGCUCUUGACAUUUUGUCUUUAGCUCCCAUUGCUCCAAGCUUUGUGGCUGCAGGGAAGCCCCCCUACUCCUGAGUAACUCCACCCGCCCCGCUCACCCCAGUUCUGCAAACUCCAGCCCAGGCAGGGCCCAGGCCCCCUAUUCACUCCGGAGAUGUCAACAUUUGCACAAUUUCUAAUUCAAUUCCCAGAAGGUAGACAUACAGGGUGGGGCAAAAGUAGGUUUACAGUAGUGAUUACUCAAAACAGUGUAUUCCUGUAAUUUUUUAAUUAAUUUUGUAUUAUUUUCCAUACAAACCAUUUUUAAAAAUCAAUUUUAACUAUAAA